Hemicordylus capensis (graceful crag lizard) is the source of this 347-nucleotide long non-coding RNA. RefSeq lists it as uncharacterized. The transcript is spliced from 4 exons. Lineage: Eukaryota; Metazoa; Chordata; Lepidosauria; Squamata; Cordylidae. The record is from RefSeq and is a predicted model, not a curated record.
CGAGCAGGCAGGGUGGUUGGCUGCUGCUACAGAAUCACUGUGCAUGAAGAAUUGUAGCCAGCAUCUCAAGCCCCUUGCUGUAUAUAGAUCUGAUGACCACUUCCUUAGAGAUUCAAAUGGAUGGAUCCUGACUUAAUAUAGCCUCUUCUGAAUGAAAGGGAAGACUUGUCACAUACCAAAUCCAAAGAGAAGUGCACCUUUUCUUCCUAAUAAAGGACUGGGCAAGAUGCUGCCUAUGGGACAUACAUGGUCUACAAAGAAUACCUGAAUGGCUUGCAGAAACAGGUUAGAUCUUCUCUGCAUUUCUGGAAGCAUCCUCUAAGGACUUAAAUAUCAAAAGAUUAAGA